Molecule: ribosomal RNA, 579 nt
Filed under: uncultured bacterium
Lineage: Bacteria
Description: bacterial SSU rRNA
Rfam family: Bacterial small subunit ribosomal RNA
Source: RNAcentral
AUUGAACGCUGGCGGCAUGCCUUACACAUGCAAGUCGAACGGCAGCACGGACUUCGGUCUGGUGGCGAGUGGCGAACGGGUGAGUAAUGCAUCGGAACGUACCCGGUAGUGGGGGAUAACUACCCGAAAGGGUGGCUAAUACCGCAUAUACUGUGCGCAGGAAAGCAGGGGACCUUCGGGCCUUGUGCUACCGGAGCGGCCGAUGUCAGAUUAGGUAGUUGGUGGGGUAACGGCCUACCAAGCCUGCGAUCUGUAGCGGGUCUGAGAGGAUGAUCCGCCACACUGGGACUGAGACACGGCCCAGACUCCUACGGGAGGCAGCAGUGGGGAAUUUUGGACAAUGGGCGCAAGCCUGAUCCAGCCAUGCCGCGUGAGUGAAGAAGCCUUCGGGUUGUAAAGCUCUUUCGGACGGAAGGAAAUCGCGCAGGCUAAUACCCUGUGCGGAUGACGGUACCGUCAUAAGAAGCACCGGCUAACUCUGUGCCAGCAGCCGCGGUAAUACAGAAGGUGCGAGCGUUAAUCGGAUUUACUGGGCGUAAAGCGCGCGUAAGUGGCUAAUUAGUCAAAUGUGAAAUCCCC